This 216-nucleotide long non-coding RNA is filed under the name Mytilus galloprovincialis (Mediterranean mussel). The record is from RNAcentral. Lineage: Eukaryota; Metazoa; Mollusca; Bivalvia; Mytilida; Mytilidae.
GUCGCGGUAUGAGCGCCAUGAAAAUGUAAAUGUUCGUUGCUUUCACGAUGCUAAUACGUCCUCAUUACGCUUCUACAACGAUCCCGCUACGAUUAUUCAACGUUCUCGCCGCGCUUAUUCUGCGACCUCACUACGCUUAUCAAGAUCUUUCUACGCUCAUCACGUUCUCACUACGACCAUACCACGAGUUAUCCGAUUGCAACUCGAUCUUACCAC